RNAcentral lists this ribosomal RNA (1398 nucleotides) under uncultured bacterium. Its description in RNAcentral is "bacterial SSU rRNA". It matches the Rfam family "Bacterial small subunit ribosomal RNA". The record is from RNAcentral.
AGAGUUUGAUCCUGGCUCAGAUUGAACGCUAGCGGGAUGCUUUACACAUGCAAGUCGAACGGCAGCACGAGAGAGCUUGCUCUCUUGGUGGCGAGUGGCGGACGGGUGAGUAAUAUAUCGGAACGUGCCCAGUAGCGGGGGAUAACUACUCGAAAGAGUGGCUAAUACCGCAUACGCCCUACGGGGGAAAGGGGGGGAUCGCAAGACCUCUCACUAUUGGAGCGGCCGAUAUCGGAUUAGCUAGUUGGUGGGGUAAAGGCCCACCAAGGCAACGAUCCGUAGCUGGUUUGAGAGGACGACCAGCCACACUGGGACUGAGACACGGCCCAGACUCCUACGGGAGGCAGCAGUGGGGAAUUUUGGACAAUGGGGGAAACCCUGAUCCAGCCAUCCCGCGUGUAUGAUGAAGGCCUUCGGGUUGUAAAGUACUUUUGGCAGAGAAGAAAAGGCAUCCCCUAAUACGGGAUGCUGCUGACGGUAUCUGCAGAAUAAGCACCGGCUAACUACGUGCCAGCAGCCGCGGUAAUACGUAGGGUGCAAGCGUUAAUCGGAAUUACUGGGCGUAAAGCGUGUGUAGGCGGUUCGGAAAGAAAGAUGUGAAAUCCCAGGGCUCAACCUUGGAACUGCAUUUUUAACUGCCGAGCUAGAGUAUGUCAGAGGGGGGUAGAAUUCCACGUGUAGCAGUGAAAUGCGUAGAUAUGUGGAGGAAUACCGAUGGCGAAGGCAGCCCCCUGGGAUAAUACUGACGCUCAGACACGAAAAGCGUGGGGAGCAAACAGGAUUAGAUACCGUGGUAGUCCACGCCCUAAACGAUGUCAACUAGCUGUUGGGGCCGUUAGGCCUUAGUAGCGCAGCUAACGCGUGAAGUUGACCGCCUGGGGAGUACGGUCGCAAGAUUAAAACUCAAAGGAAUUGACGGGGACCCGCACAAGCGGUGGAUGAUGUGGAUUAAUUCGAUGCAACGCGAAAAACCUUACCUACCCUUGACAUGUCUGGAAUGCCGAAGAGAUUUGGCAGUGCUCGCAAGAGAACCGGAACACAGGUGCUGCAUGGCUGUCGUCAGCUCGUGUCGUGAGAUGUUGGGUUAAGUCCCGCAACGAGCGCAACCCUUGUCAUUAGUUGCUACGCAAGAGCACUCUAAUGAGACUGCCGGUGACAAACCGGAGGAAGGUGGGGAUGACGUCAAGUCCUCAUGGCCCUUAUGGGUAGGGCUUCACACGUCAUACAAUGGUCGGGACAGAGGGUCGCCAACCCGCGAGGGGGAGCCAAUCUCAGAAACCCGAUCGUAGUCCGGAUCGCAGUCUGCAACUCGACUGCGUGAAGUCGGAAUCGCUAGUAAUCGCGGAUCAGAAUGUCGCGGUGAAUACGUUCCCGGGUCUUGUACUCACCGCCCGUCAA